GCCGCUGUGGCUCAGUGGAUAGAGCAUCGGCCUGCGACUGAAAGGUCCCAGGUUCGAAUCCGGUCAAUGGCA
RNAcentral lists this transfer RNA (72 nucleotides) under Myotis davidii. It matches the Rfam family "tRNA". From Rfam's summary of the family: Transfer RNA (tRNA) molecules are approximately 80 nucleotides in length. The record is from Rfam by way of RNAcentral. Lineage: Eukaryota; Metazoa; Chordata; Mammalia; Chiroptera; Vespertilionidae.